RNAcentral lists this ribosomal RNA (253 nucleotides) under uncultured prokaryote. Its description in RNAcentral is "partial 16S ribosomal RNA". It matches the Rfam family "Bacterial small subunit ribosomal RNA", at positions 524 to 776 of the family's 1533-position model. The record is from RNAcentral.
UACGAAGGGGGCUAGCGUUGUUCGGAAUUACUGGGCGUAAAGCGCGCGCAGGCGGCUUCUCAAGUCAGGGGUGAAAGCCCGGAGCUCAACUCCGGAACUGCCUUUGAAACUGUGAAGCUUGAGUACGGGAGAGGUGAGUGGAAUUCCCAGUGUAGAGGUGAAAUUCGUAGAUAUUGGGAAGAACACCGGUGGCGAAGGCGGCUCACUGGCCCGUUACUGACGCUGAGGCGCGAAAGCGUGGGGAGCAAACAGG